AUUGAACGCUGGCGGCAGGCCUAACACAUGCAAGUCGAACGAGUGGCGGACGGGUGAGUAAUGUCUGGGAAACUGCCUGAUGGAGGGGGAUAACUACUGGAAACGGUAGCUAAUACCGCAUACCCUCGGAUGUGCCCAGAUGGGAUUAGUUGGUAGGUGGGGUAAAGGCUCACCUAGGCGACGAUCCCUCGCUGGUCGGAGAGGAUGACCAGCCAAACGGUAACUGGGAAACGGUCCAGCCUCUGACGGUGGGCAGCAUGGGGGAUUAUUGCACAUGGGGGGCAAGCCGAAGGCAGCAAUGCCGCUUGGGUGAAGAAGGCCUUCGGGUUGUAAAGCACUUUCAGCGAGGAGGCGUUACUCGCAGAAGAAGCACCGGCUAACUCCGUGCCAGCCGCCGCGGUAAUAC
RNAcentral lists this ribosomal RNA (406 nucleotides) under uncultured bacterium. RNAcentral's name for it is "partial 16S ribosomal RNA". It matches the Rfam family "Bacterial small subunit ribosomal RNA", at positions 30 to 526 of the family's 1533-position model. The record is from RNAcentral.